Long non-coding RNA from Lactuca sativa (garden lettuce), 644 nucleotides. RefSeq lists it as uncharacterized. The record is from RefSeq and is a predicted model, not a curated record. Lineage: Eukaryota; Viridiplantae; Streptophyta; Magnoliopsida; Asterales; Asteraceae.
CCCGUGAACCUGAAUAAGACGUGAUUAUCAUCCAAACAUAAAAUUAUGUAUUUAUAAAAAAAACCAUGCUAACCGUUUAAUAAAACUUCACAUAAAAGGGAAAUUUAUUCCUUAAAAACGGAUCGGGUUUAAUAAAGAUAUUAGAUACUUCUUCCUGAGUUCGGCUUCAUAUUGAUUAGUUCUUUCAGCUAGAUUUCUAAUACAGAUACUUAGUGAAAAACAAAAAGGAAGAGCAUAAAUGAAAAUUUUUGGGAAGCAGAUACAUCCUAGACAGAUUAUACUUUUGGUCGCUGGGAUGAUGGUGUUUGGAUCAACAAGUUAUGAUAUCCACAGAUCGAUCAAGAGCAACGAAACGCCACCAUCGAAAGAACAAAUCCAGGCGAUGGAAGAUUACCUCGCCACCAAACGCCGUCCUGGUUGAGCUCUCUCCGUCGUAUUUAUUCGUUGCUACGGAUUCGCCACGUUCACCACUGUAUUACCCUACACUCGAUUUUUUUUUCUAUUUACGAAUAUUUGAUAAUAAUCAAAUUUCUAAAAUAAAUUUGAGUGCAAUUAUCUUAUUAUUACGAUUUCAGAUGGUAGAUGAUUAGUUUUUAUUAGUACUUUGAAUUUUUGAUGAAGUAAUUUGGGUUAUUUGAGUGUUA